CGGCCACAUUGGGACUGAGACACGGCCCAAACUCCUACGGGAGGCAGCAGUGGGGAAUAUUGCACAAUGGGGGAAACCCUGAUGCAGCAACGCCGCGUGAGUGAAGAAGUAUUUCGGUAUGUAAAGCUCUAUCAGCAGGAAAGAAAAUGACGGUACCUGACUAAGAAGCCCCGGCUAACUACGUGCCAGCAGCCGCGGUAAUACGUAGGGGGCAAGCGUUAUCCGGAUUUACUGGGUGUAAAGGGAGCGUAGACGGUUUUGCAAGUCUGAAGUGAGAGCCCGGGGCUUAACCCCGGGACUGCAUUGGAAACUGUCAAUCUAGAGUACCGGAGAGGUAAGCGGAAUUCCUAGUGUAGCGGUGAAAUGCGUAGAUAUUAGGAGGAACACCAGUGGCGAAGGCGGCUUACUGGACGGUAACUGACGUUGAGGCUCGAAAGCGUGGAGAGCAAACAGGAUUAGAUACCCUGGUAGUCCACGCCGUAAACGAUGAUUACUAGGUGUUGGUGGGUAUGACCCAUCGGUGCCGCAGCAAACGCAAUAAGUAAUCCACCUGGGGAGUACGUUCGCAAGAAUGAAACUCAAAGGAAUUGACGGGGACCCGCACAAGCGGUGGAGCAUGUGGUUUAAUUCGAAGCAACGCGAAGAACCUUACCUGGUCUUGACAUCCCUAUGAAUAACGGGCAAUGCCGUUAGUACUUCGGUACAUAGGAGACAGGUGGUGCAUGGUUGUCGUCAGCUCGUGUCGUGAGAUGUUGGGUUAAGUCCCGCAACGAGCGCAACCCUUAUCUUUAGUAGCCAGCAGUAAGAUGGGCACUCUAGAGAGACUGCCGGGGAUAACCCGGAGGAAGGUGGGGAUGACGUCAAAUCAUCAUGCCCCUUAUGACCAGGGCUACACACGUGCUACAAUGGCGUAAACAAAGAGAAGCGAAGUCGUGAGGCAGAGCAAAUCUCAAAAAUAACGUCUCAGUUCGGAUUGUAGUCUGCAACUCGACUACAUGAAGCUGGAAUCGCUAGUAAUCGCAGAUCAGAAUGCUGCGGUGAAUACGUUCCCGGGUCUUGUACACACCGCCCGUCACACCAUGGGAGUCGGAAAUGCCCGAAGUCGGUGACCUAACCGAAAGGAAGGAGCCGCCGAAGGCAGGUCUGAUAACUGGGGUGAAGUCGUAACAAGGUAACCGUACUAGUAC
Molecule: ribosomal RNA, 1187 nt
Filed under: metagenome
Description: bacterial SSU rRNA
Rfam family: Bacterial small subunit ribosomal RNA
Source: RNAcentral